RNAcentral lists this ribosomal RNA (440 nucleotides) under uncultured bacterium. Its description in RNAcentral is "partial 16S ribosomal RNA". It matches the Rfam family "Bacterial small subunit ribosomal RNA", at positions 338 to 795 of the family's 1533-position model. The record is from RNAcentral.
CCUACGGGAGGCAGCAGUGGGGAAUAUUGCACAAUGGGGGAAACCCUGAUGCAGCGACGCCGCGUGAGUGAAGAAGUAAUUCGUUAUGUAAAGCUCUAUCAGCAGGGAAGAAAAUGACGGUACCUGAGUAAGAAGCCCCGGCUAACUACGUGCCAGCAGCCGCGGUAAUACGUAGGGGGCAAGCGUGAUCCGGAUUUACUGGGUGUAAAGGGAGCGUAGACGGCAGUGCAAGGCUGGAGGUAAAGGGGGGGGCUUAACCCCCGGACUGCUCUGGAAACUGUACGGCUGGAGUGCAGGAGAGGUAAGUGGAAUUCCUAGUGUAGCGGUGAAAUGCGUAGAUAUUAGGAGGAACACCAGUGGCGAAGGCGGCUUACUGGACUGUAACUGACGUUGAGGCUCGAAAGCGUGGGGAGCAAACAGGAUUAGAUACCCCAGUAGUC